RNAcentral lists this ribosomal RNA (497 nucleotides) under uncultured bacterium. RNAcentral's name for it is "partial 16S ribosomal RNA". It matches the Rfam family "Bacterial small subunit ribosomal RNA", at positions 28 to 507 of the family's 1533-position model. The record is from RNAcentral.
GAUGAACGCUGGCGGCGUGCCUAAUACAUGCAAGUCGAGCGAACGGACGAGAAGCUUGCUUCUCUGAUGUUAGCGGCGGACGGGUGAGUAACACGUGGAUAACCUACCUAUAAGACUGGGAUAACUUCGGGAAACCGGAGCUAAUACCGGAUGAUAUUUUGAACCGCAUGGUUCAAAAGUGAAAGACGGUCUUGCUGUCACUUAUAGAUGGAUCCGCGCUGCAUUAGCUAGUUGGUAAGGUAACGGCUUACCAAGGCAACGAUGCAUAGCCGACCUGAGAGCGUUAUCCGCCACACUGGAACUGAGACACGGUCCAGACUCCUACGGGAGGCAGCAGAAGGGAAGCUUCCGCAAUGCGCGAAAGCCUGACGGAGCAACGCCGCGUGAGUGAUGAAGGUCUUCGGAUCGUAAAACUCUGUUAUUAGGGAAGAACAUAUGUGUAAGUAACUGUGCACAUCUUGACGGUACCUAAUCAGAAAGCCACGGCUAACUACGUG